AGGAUACUGCGCGGUGCGUGAGGCCAAUCACUCCGGACCGAUGCUUACUCUUAGGGAGCUGUCCCUGACCUCGGCCGUGGCCUUGGUUAAACGGCACCCACCUGUACUAACAGGUCACGAGAGGAUUUAUGUGCGCUCACGGCCAGCGCGGUUCCUUC
Molecule: non-coding RNA, 158 nt
Filed under: Rickettsiales bacterium
Lineage: Bacteria; Pseudomonadati; Pseudomonadota; Alphaproteobacteria; Rickettsiales
Description: 6S RNA
Rfam family: 6S / SsrS RNA
About the family: E. coli 6S RNA was the first non coding RNA to be sequenced, but its function was unknown until recently.
Source: RNAcentral